Molecule: microRNA precursor, 86 nt
Organism: Oryza sativa Japonica Group (Japanese rice)
Lineage: Eukaryota; Viridiplantae; Streptophyta; Magnoliopsida; Poales; Poaceae
Rfam family: mir-156 microRNA precursor family
About the family: This family represents the plant microRNA (miRNA) precursor mir-156.
Source: Rfam
UUGACAGAAGAGAGUGAGCACACGGCGUGAUGGCCGGCAUAAAAUCUAUCCCGUCCUCGCCGCGUGCUCACUCCUCUUUCUGUCAC